UAGUGUUUAGGUACUAGUGCAGUGUAGAACCCUUUUCUCAGGCAAAACCUAACAUCUGACCGCACCCUUUUUGCUAUUAAAAAAAAAAAAAAGCUUCUAUUUUUUUCCUCCUGUCGUUAAGAUAAAUUCUCCAGUAGACAACCUCUCCCACUAAUUGUGUAUUAGCAACGUAUUUUAUCUUGAGAGCUUGUACACUGGGCUCUCAACGUGGUGUGGAAGGUAGCCUGUUACAGUGCUGGAUUCAUAAAAGGGCCUUUAUGGUUUGUGAAAGAAUAUCUGUGUGCUUAGGGAGGAAACUUUUUGAUCUGCAGAAAAGCCAGAAGACAUCUAGGACAUCCAUAAAAAUUCAUCAGAGAGCAUUUUACUACUGAGCUGCAAAGGGAAAAACUUAAAAUGGAUAUGAAAAGUGAAGAAAGUGAUCAUAGGAGAAAACCAUUUCAGGUGUCUGAUGAUUUGUGAGCCUCAAGUGACUACUCUGUGGAAUCAUCUGUCCUUGCCUUUGAAUUAGCUUUCCCUAGGCCAUGAGUCAACAUUAGUAGUUUAUACAUCCAAAUUGAUGACAAGAGCACCUCAAAGGCAGCAGCCUCAAGGAGCAGCCAUGGCCCCAGACUUGUCGCACGGAUGCAGAAAACUUAAUGGAGGAGGCUGAGGUUGUGGAAAAUGCACUAGAAUCAACAAACAUGGGGACUAAUUCAACUCGGAUAUCAUGUCUUCAGAGAAGUUUCUCCUGCCCUCCUCUCCCUGUAGAAUUAAGUAUUCUUCCACUGUGCCACCCUCUAACUUGUGCUCAUAUCUUCCUCUAUUGUAGUUAUGUGUUCACAUCCCUGUUGUUUUUGUACCGGCUUCUCCCAAAGGGAGACAUUUAGUCUUAUUCUUCUUGGUAACUUUAGCACAGACCUGGCAGAUUGUUGACACUCAACAAAUGUUUAUUGACUCAAAUGCAUUCAGUUGAACAUUGACCUUUGAUCAACUCUGGGAAAAGUCUGCAAAGCUAGUUAGGACAUUCAGAAAUUCAUUUCAUUUCAAUCCUAACUAAAUAAAUUAUUGAAGUCUCAGAA
RNAcentral lists this long non-coding RNA (1058 nucleotides) under Homo sapiens (human). RNAcentral's name for it is "mir-99a-let-7c cluster host gene". Lineage: Eukaryota; Metazoa; Chordata; Mammalia; Primates; Hominidae. The record is from RNAcentral.